Molecule: ribosomal RNA, 37 nt
Filed under: Bromus racemosus
Lineage: Eukaryota; Viridiplantae; Streptophyta; Magnoliopsida; Poales; Poaceae
Description: partial 18S ribosomal RNA
Source: RNAcentral
ACCUGGUUGAUCCUGCCAGUAGUCAUAUGCUUGUCUA